This 253-nucleotide ribosomal RNA is filed under the name uncultured bacterium. RNAcentral describes it as "partial 16S ribosomal RNA". It matches the Rfam family "Bacterial small subunit ribosomal RNA", at positions 524 to 776 of the family's 1533-position model. The record is from RNAcentral.
UCCGAAGGGAGCUAUCGUUGUUCGGAAUCACUGGGCGUAAAGCGCACGUAGGCGGAUGUGUCAGUCGGGGGUGAAAUCCCGAGGCUCAACCUCGGAACUGCCUCCGAUACAGCAAAUCUCGAGUCCGGGAGAGGUGGGUGGAAUUCCUAGUGUAGAGGUGAAAUUCGUAGAUAUUAGGAAGAACACCAGUGGCGAAGGCGGCCCACUGGCCCGGUACUGACGCUGAGGUGCGAAAGCGUGGGGAGCAAACAGG